This 472-nucleotide ribosomal RNA is filed under the name uncultured bacterium. RNAcentral's name for it is "SSU rRNA". It matches the Rfam family "Bacterial small subunit ribosomal RNA", at positions 26 to 518 of the family's 1533-position model. The record is from RNAcentral.
AGGAUGAACGCUGGCGGCGUGCCUAACACAUGCAAGUCGAACGUCCUGUCUCGCAAGAGGCAGGGAGUGGCGGACGGGUGAGUACCACGUGGGUUAUCUACCGUGAGGUGAGGAAUACCGGCGAGAAAUCGCCGACAAGACCGCAUAGGCUCGAUGCAAGUCGAGCAAAGCUCUUUCGAGAGAGGGAGCGCCACACGAGGAGCCUGCGCCCGAUUAGCUAGCUGGUGGAGUAACGGUUCACCAGGGCGACGAUCGGUAGCUGGUCUGAGAGGACGAUCAGCCACACUGGGAUUGAGAACGGCCCAGACUCCUACGGGGGGCAGCAGUGAGGAAUUUUCGUCAAUGGGGGCAACCCUGAACGAGCAACGCCGCGUGCAGGAAGAAGGUUUUCGGAUCGUAAACUGCUUUUCUCGGGGAAGAGAACGGACGGUACCCGAGGAAUCAGCCCGGCUAACUACGCGCCAGCAGCCGC